UGGUUGCUCUUUGAGCCAGCUUGGCCUC
Molecule: non-coding RNA, 28 nt
Filed under: Homo sapiens (human)
Lineage: Eukaryota; Metazoa; Chordata; Mammalia; Primates; Hominidae
Source: RNAcentral